Molecule: ribosomal RNA, 214 nt
Filed under: uncultured fungus
Lineage: Eukaryota; Fungi
Description: partial 28S ribosomal RNA
Rfam family: Eukaryotic large subunit ribosomal RNA
Source: RNAcentral
AAAAGAAACCAACAGGGAUUGCCCUAGUAACGGCGAGUGAAGCGGCAACAGCUCAAAUUUGAAAUCUGGCUUCGGCCCGAGUUGUAAUUUGCAGAGGAAGCUUUAGGCGCGGCACCAUCUGAGUCCCCUGGAACGGGGCGCCAAAGAGGGUGAGAGCCCCGUAGAGAUGGACGCUAAGCCUGUGUAAAGCUCCUUCGACGAGUCGAGUUGUUUG